This 959-nucleotide long non-coding RNA is filed under the name Sinocyclocheilus grahami. RNAcentral's name for it is "lncRNA (ENSSGRG00000005978.1)". The record is from RNAcentral. Lineage: Eukaryota; Metazoa; Chordata; Actinopteri; Cypriniformes; Cyprinidae.
UUUUAAAAUCAUUUAUUUAAAUUGUACUUUUUUAUGAUUUCAUUAAUUAUCAGCUUUGCAUUAAACUCAUGAACCUCCUGCAGUUCCUUCAUGAACCCCAGUUUGGGAAACCUUGACAUAAUGUUAAUAACAACAAAUGGAAUAUAUUUUUAUUUAUAUCAAUAUGGUACAAGUUUAUCCUGUUUAAAUCGAUGUGAUAAAUGAGUUAGGUCAAAAGUAGUCUGAUUAUAUAACCUAAAAUGUGUGAUGUAAUGGAUUACGUUACUAAUUACAGUUUUUGUCAUAUCAUUUGGAAUCAGUAAAGGAUUACAAUUUGUAAGUUAUCUGCCCAGCUCCGUUUACACGUUUUUUUCCUGAAAGGUUUUAGUUGGAUGGUUAUCCAUUUUUUUUUUUAUGUUACUAUUUAUUUCAAAAUGUUCCGAGAGCAUUCAAAAGUAACAUUCUCAUAAUAAUGUUUUCAAAAUUAUCAAAUGGAAUGUUCCCUUAAUGUUUUAAACGGUUUAAAAACUGGGCAUUUUGAACAUUCAGAGAACAUUCAGCAAUGAUAUUUGUAUAAUUGAAUGGGAGCGUCUGGGUUAUCUGGUUUGUGUUUGUUGUGUAGGACGUGCUAUGCAGCUGCGGCCCACUCUCAUCGAAGACUUCAAGACCCUGGUGGCUGAGCAGGGAAUGAGUGAAGACACUAAUCAAAAAGUACAAAGGUACCCUCACGACGCAAACCAAUGCAAAACACACUUUUAUUCAGAUCAGAUGUCAUUGUUUUUGGCUCUGUGUCGUCAGGUGAAUGUAUUCCAGGUGAGCAGGUCACACCAGAGCCACAGAUCCAGAGGGCGAGGAGGAAUGUGGUCCUGCCGGCCCCUGAGGAGGGAUCGGGGGACGAUACACCCAUCUUCAGAGGACCUGGUGAGCAAUAGUGCCACUUAUGUGCUUUCAUAUAUGUAAACGAAUAUCAUAGGUGAUAG